CAGGAUGAACGCUAGCUACAGGCUUAACACAUGCAAGUCGAGGGGCAGCAUGUGGUUGCUUGCAACCAAUGAUGGCGACCGGCGCACGGGUGAGUAACGCGUAUCCAACCUUCCCCUUAGUAGAGGAUAGCCCGGCGAAAGUCGGAUUGAUACUCUAUGUUCUUCAAUGCGGACAUCUAAGUUGAAGCAAAGAUUUAUCGCUAAGGGAUGGGGAUGCGUCUGAUUAGGUUGCAGGCGGGGUAACGGCCCACCUGGCCUACGAUCAGUAGGGGUUCUGAGAGGAAGGUCCCCCACACUGGUACUGAGACACGGACCAGACUCCUACGGGAGGCAGCAGUGAGGAAUAUUGGUCAAUGGGCGCGAGCCUGAACCAGCCAAGUAGCGUGCAGGGAACCGACUGCCCUAUGGGUUGUAAACUGCUUUUAUCAGGGAAUAAAGUGAGGCACGCGUGCCUUUUUGUAUGUACCUGAUGAAUAAGGACCGGCUAAUUCCGUGCCAGCCGCAGC
This 506-nucleotide ribosomal RNA is filed under the name uncultured bacterium. RNAcentral describes it as "bacterial SSU rRNA". It matches the Rfam family "Bacterial small subunit ribosomal RNA", at positions 25 to 518 of the family's 1533-position model. The record is from RNAcentral.